This 395-nucleotide long non-coding RNA is filed under the name Carica papaya (papaya). RNAcentral describes it as "long non-coding RNA (CPAP_LNC001901)". The record is from RNAcentral. Lineage: Eukaryota; Viridiplantae; Streptophyta; Magnoliopsida; Brassicales; Caricaceae.
AUAUGAUGAUCCAAUUGCUGAGUAGCAACGUUACUUUUCUAGAAGACGCAAAACCAAUAGUCGUUGAUGUAGUUGUGUGCAAAGUGCAAAGUGAGACUCUUCUUUUCUUUAUACAAUGACAAAAAAGAUGAAACAAAAAGGGAUAAACUGGUUUUUAAAAGAAAAGACCUAAAACUGGUUCAACAACCGAACCAGUUGAAGAAAUCCUAAAGCCACCUAGUUCAAAUCAAACUGGUUCAAAGACAAUAUGGGGUCAAACCAAACCCGAUUCAGACUGAAUUAGUUCAUUGAACCAAACUGGUUAGACCCUAAUGGACCGAACCAAAUCACUCAAUCUCUCUGUCACUCAUAUUACCUUGUUCUCACUCAGUCUCUCACUGAUGAAAAUGAAAUGG